ACAUUGACUUUGAAAUUUAUUAGACUCUGCCAAUUAUUGUACAAGUGCGUAUUACCGAAGAUUGCCGAACGAAGUGACCCAAGUUCAUUUGCCAGGGUUACUGGGUGACGAAAAAGUACAUAACGACGAGAAUACACACAAAACCAACGCUUCGAUGAACGAACAUUUUUACUCCUUACAUUCAAGUUAUUGUAAUUUGUUUUAGAUCUGUUGUAUUAAAAUUUACGUGAAAUUCUGAAAAUUCUUCACCACAUCCACAACUAUUGGUCCUUCGAACUGCGAAUCUACAGUGCCAGCAGAACUACAAAGAAAAUAGCAGCUUUACAUUCUACGAACCGACGUCGUACUUGACCCGCUGUAUCAACCCCAGGAAGCUACAUUUACAACACUGAAUACUGAAUCCUUUUUAUAAUUUCACAUUUUUUCAGUCUCUAUUUGAUAAAUAUUUUAAGUACAUGAGUUUCAAUCUAAAUUAAUAUAUUUAUUUCGAAUAGUGACAUAUUAGGUCUGUUCCUUUGUUUUUUAGUGUUACACUUUUGAGUGUAAGUGUACGAAAUUCUAUGGACAUUCGAGUGUAAAAUGACAGCGGAUGUCACAGCGGCUCAUGACAGCGGACAGUAUUAAAGGAAAAUUAUCGGUGUGCCAAUCAAGCAAAGGGACAAGGAACUUCCGAAUAUGGCCUAACUGGGGGCACAUUGGGCACAUAACAUAACAUAACCUAAUCCUAAUAUUAGGCAAUCCAAACCACGUGACCUCUGGUUGGCACACAAACUAACGAAGAGGUUAUGUUUGUAUCUAUUUUUCAAUGAUUUUUCAUUGUUUAUCGUCGUAUUUUGUCUAUUUUCAAUUCAUUUGGAUUUCGUUUCCUGUUUUUGUGAACUUUAUAAACUUUACCACAAUGCAAACUGAUUAUUUAAGGAAAUUAUUAUUGGAAACUCCAGAUGUUGCGAGAAAGAUAUUUAUUGAAGCUGAAAAUAAUUGGGGAUUUAGAUCCAUACGGAAUUCAGUCAGAAUUGGAUUUUACAGUAAAGUGCAGUCCAUCAAGUUACUAUUAUAGAUAUUUAUACAGAUCUGGUGGAGUCUCACAGUUGCUACUCUAAGCAGCAGAUGAAAGCAUACAAAAGCCUUCAGGCACAUAAAUAUUUUACAGCUGGAUUUGUUUUGAAUGGAGUAAAAAUUGUUAAUGAUUUCCUGAUUUCCAUAUUAUUGUUGGAAAGGUGAAGCAUUUCCAAAAAGCUAAUGCUAAACGACUAAAUGCUUGGGUGGGGUGAUAGCCAGUUCUGAUGACAUAGCAAAUGCACAUUGUAUGCGUAUGGCUGGUAAUAGUGAAGUCUGCAGCAAUCCUAUUUUUAGCUGAGUAUGUCCAGAGCAAGACAGACGAAGAAGAACCCAAUGCAUGUACAUAUGUUACAGCUACAUGGUUUGGAGAUAGCAACAUAUGCAUUCUCUGAUGAAAAACUAAUGAGUUUUGAAACUGUUCGGUCAGAGUGCUUGUUGCGCUCACUAAACGAACUGAAAUAUAAGAUGGCUUUGGCAUUGUGUUGCAGCGAUAUGAAAAUGGUUAUUCAUUUUUAAUUAUAAUGUACUUCUUCAUCAUGAGUAAUUAUGUAUUGGUCUUUUAGAUGUGUAUUUAUUUUUGUAAUUAGUAUCAACUUGUAAUGAUAAUAUAUAUUUAUUGUUUAAGGUACGACUAUGUUUUGACUCUAAAAUAAAUGUUUUAAAAAUCGAAUCCUGCCUCUUUCUGUUAGUAACUACCCAUGGAUAUCACAAAUUGUGCUUACUGAUAGGUUUGUUCGUAGAACGAUCAGCAACUCUUGCCAACCAUCAGACACAUGCGCAUUCGUAGUCUAUGAAUGCUAACUAUUAACUGCACAACACUAACUGUUAACUGCUCAUGCAUCUGAUGGUUGACAGCAGUUGCUAAUCGUUUGUGUCGUACUAGGAACAAACCUAUUAGGUCUGGAUCCUGUGUACCAAAAAAAUUGAUUAAUAGCAAGCUGAAAAUUUGUUAAUAGCUUAACGGUGUCCAGUUGGACAAACUUUGAUGUAUUGUGACACUGGAACAGGGGUAGUUUUAAUUGUGAAACAGUUUGGAAACUCAGAUUUGGAACAUCAGAUUACAAAAACAUCCCAUAUAUUUUGUCGGACAGAACAUCCAAUUGAUCUGUUACCCUUUCAUUAAAUUGUCAUGCAAAAAUCAGACUGCUAUUACUAACCAACAUGAUUCCUGUAGUUUGACAUGGUCUUCGUGUUCUACUCAUUAAAAUGCCCAGUUGAUGAUUUUUUCACCAAUCUGGUUUUUGCAUGAGGGUUUUAUUGAAUUGGUAGCAAAUCAAUUGGAAGUUUUAUCUGACAAAUUACAUAAACAUUUUCGUAGUUUGACGUUCCAAAUUUUUAACCUGUUCCACAGUUAAAACUUCUAGUGUUCCCAUACAUCAAAGUUUGUCGGACUAGACACUGUUAAGCUAUUAAUAAAUUUUCAGCUUGCUAUUAAUCAACUUUUUUUGGUACGCGGGAUCCAGGUCUAUAUGGAAUAAAUAAAUAACAAAACAAAUUCCCUGUCAAAACUGCAUUUAUUUUGAAUAGAAUGAAAAACAAAAUAAUAUUGUUUUAACAAAAUAGGGGAUAAAUGUUAAAAUUUAGUAUUAAUAAAGUUUGUCACAUUAGCCUAAUAUUAAUGUCACUAGUUACGUUAGUGUCACAUAUAAAUAAUUGUAAUAAUAUUAAUAAAAAGCAUAAUUCCUAGCAUGAGUGCGUCCUGUUUUUUGAUAAUUUAGUUAGGCGAGGAAACAUAAAUGAGUUUCUAAUAGGGCUUUUCAUCGAUUGUCAUUUGUUUCGAGCUUCUGUUAGAUGUUGUAUAAUUCGUGUAUAAUAUUACUAUACACGGAUUAUAGGACAUAUGACAGAAGCUCAAAACAAAUGACUGUGAAUGAAAAGCCCUAUAGAGGGAAGACGAAAAAAAUUAACAUUAUCCGAUCAGCUCGACUUUCACAGUUCACUACUAUACAAGUUACAGGCAUGUUUUCAGCACUUAAAAUCACCAAAAACGAAAAGUUUAUAAAAUAAUCAAUCUAAUGAAUGUCUUUAAAUACUAUAUUAAGCUCAAAAUCACGAUAAAAAACAAAUUAAAAUUAACAUUAUUCUGAUCAGUUGACUUCCACAGUUCACUACUAUACAAGUCACAGGCAUGUUGUCAGCACUCAAAAUCACCAAAAACGUAAAGUUUAUAAAAUAAUUAAUCCAAUGAAUGUCUUUAAAUACUAUGUAUAUUAAGCUCAAAAUCACGACAAAAAACAAAUUGAAAUUAACAUUAUUCUGAUCAGUUGGACUUCCACAGUUCACUACUAUACAGGUCACAGGCAUGUUGUCAGCACUCAAAAUCACCAAAAACGUAAAGUUUAUAAAAUAAUUAAUCCAAUGAAUGUCUUUAAAUACUAUAUUAAGCUCAAAAUCACGACAAAAAACAAAUUAAAAUUAACAUUAUCCCGAUCAGUUGGACUUCCGCAGUUCACUACUAUACAAGUCACAGGCAUGUUGUCAGCACUCAAAAUCACCAAAAACGUAAAGUUUAUAAACUAAUUAAUCUAAUGAAUGUCUUUUAAUACUAAAUUAGCUAAAAAAUCACGACGAAAAACAAAUACGAAAAAUCCAAAAUUACAUUGAGUUUAGGUUAAAAACGGUUUUGUGUGCCAACCAAAGAUCACGUGAUUUAACUUUGACAGGUCGAUGGAUUCCCUAAUUUACAUUUGUAAAGAAUAUCCUGUUUGUUUUUAUUGUCGAUUGUGCAGCGAAAUUGUGUGCAGCAAAUCAAAUAUAAAGUAGUUUAUCGCCUACAGAACUGAAUUAGUCCAUAGCAGUUAUCAGUUUUUCUUUCUUGGGAAGCUUAUACAUGUAACUUGUAUUGUUGUAAAUUGUGGGAGUAGGGCAGACAGGGAAAAGUCUUAUUUUGUACUGUUCCCAAGGCUCCCCAUGCAAUACAUUUAAAUGAAUUAUCCAAACAAAGCCGGGGACAAUGGAUAAAAGCCACAAGAAGAACAGAUAUAAGGGAACUAAAAUUAAAAUAUGAAAAGUAAACAUUUUAUAAGUGGAACAACCACCAGAUAUUUAAAAGGUAUAAAAAGAAGAAACUGCUGGAAUUUCAAAACAAAUGUGUUUGACUAGUAAAGAUUUGGAUAAAUAACAGGAGUUACUUUGGGCUAUAGCUACGUGCAGAUUUAUUUCCUUGUGGCUUCCUAUGUUAAUUCUUAUUAAUUAUACACUUAAAUAUGUUUUUAGUCUCAGGAAGAUUUUAUAUUUGAUUAUUUUUGAAUAAACAUUAUUAUUAUUAUUACCUUAAUUUCCAUUAAAUAAAUUAACUGUAAUCAAUAAAGUAAUCGUUUAAUUGUUAAUAAAUUAUCAAGUAUGA
Long non-coding RNA from Diabrotica virgifera virgifera (western corn rootworm), 4405 nucleotides. RefSeq lists it as uncharacterized. NCBI's taxonomy places the organism in Eukaryota, Metazoa, Arthropoda, Insecta, Coleoptera, Chrysomelidae. The transcript has 4 exons. The record is from RefSeq and is a predicted model, not a curated record.